Molecule: small nucleolar RNA, 131 nt
Organism: Hyaena hyaena (striped hyena)
Lineage: Eukaryota; Metazoa; Chordata; Mammalia; Carnivora; Hyaenidae
Source: RefSeq, a predicted model, not a curated record
GUUGAGGUCUAUCCCGAUGGGACUUUUUCUGAAGACUUACAUUGCCAGGAACACCUUGUAGAGUAUUUGCGUGGUUUCCUUUACUCACAGGACGAUGUGUUAGGCCCAAGGGAAAGAACUCUAGGACACGG